This 312-nucleotide ribosomal RNA is filed under the name Triticum aestivum (bread wheat). RNAcentral describes it as "partial small subunit ribosomal RNA". Lineage: Eukaryota; Viridiplantae; Streptophyta; Magnoliopsida; Poales; Poaceae. The record is from RNAcentral.
AUGGACCGGCUGCUAACUGGGGGAUCUUCGGCCUUUCAGCUCAUCCUCAUGGUUUUGGUUGUUAAUGUGGUUUUGGUGUCGCCCAUUGCCUUCUAUUCAAGUGGUUUUGAUGGGGUUCCAUUUCAUUGUACAAGUGUUGGGGUUACAUUUGGUGUGUGUUCAGAGCAUUUGAUGUGCUACUUGUGCGGUGGCGUGGUAUUAUGCUUUUUGAAUUGUUCUUUUAUGCUAAAUUUGUAUGCUAAAGUUUUUGCCAAAUCUCAUGGUUUAAUCUUGCACAAUCAUUUAGUACUAAGAAACAUUUAUAACCUGUGA